AAGCUUCUACCAUCAGAAGACAUCAGGACAAAAACCUGAAACCAAGGAGAAUAAAAUCUACAUCCGCAUCUAUGCAAGGUUAGUUUACACUUUCUUCUCACUGAAAUGUAGUUUAUAAACAUCUACAACAUUUUCAUUGAUGUUAAGCUAAGAUUAAUUGAGUAAAAAUGAGAAAACUAAAUGAUUGUGCAUCUGCUUGAUUGAUUGUACUUUAUUCAAUACAUAAAAAGAAAGACAUAACCAAAUAUGACGAAAGUAAGAGUGUUUAAAGAAGUCAAAUAUAGUUAGCACAAUAACUGGAAUUGAAAGUCGAUUGAUUGGUUGUUACUUUCUUUUGAACCAUGAGACAUUGAAUCUGUGAAAAGGUAAGUAGAUUGUUAGUCAAAUAUAUGAUUGAUUGACUGGGGGUUUUGCUUACCAUAAAGCAAUUAUAUUAUAAAAUAAAAUGGUAAACUAAACAUACCUUCUUUGAUAAGAUUGUUUGACAAAUAAUGCAAGAAGCAUUAUGAGUCAAUAUUCUGAAAAACUUCUUUGAAAACAACAUUAGUUGUUUGCUUUUGAAUCUUCCCUUCUUUGUCUAGAAUCAGAAUUUUCAAACCUGUCUUUGAGGUAACCCUAGAUAAAGCAACAUAUAGUUGCCCAUGAGAAAACACUGGCUUAGGCAGAUAGAGUCCAACCCUCUCUAGUGAUUGUCCCUGACUCUUGUUGAUAGUCAUGGCAAAUGCUAGUGAUACUGGGAACUGUCUUCUACGCAUCCGAAAAGGUAGCUUUGUAUCGGAUGGUGUAAUAUUGAUUAAUGAAAUCAAAACAAUAUCACGAAUUCUGUCUCCGGUUAUAACUCUUGCUUGAAGAACACGUGGGGUCAUCUGAGUUACCUGAAGCCGAGUACCGUUGCAUAGACCACCUUUAGGAUCAAUAUUCCUGAGUAACAUUAUUGGAGCACCAAUCUUCAGACGCAAAGCAUGGUGUGGCAAACCUGGUAGCCUGAUACUGUUUAAGAAAUCUGGUGUGAUAACAGGAUUUUUAAGUGAAUCGGAAUCUUCAGGAUCAAUACUAUCAGCACUGUAAAAAACUUGCUCAUCACCUGUUGAAAAAAUAAAAAAAACCUUUUAGCUGUAAGAAAGACUUGAAGGAAAUAAUUUCACAUAGCUAGUAAGCUAUGACUAACCCUCCAACUUGUCUAACAUAUAUUGGUUGAUUGUGUGUACAUCAUCAUUGGUUGGCGCCAGAAUUGCUCUCUUUUGAAAAAAUACUGGAUCUUCAGUACCUUUUAACAUAGCUGGAUCUCCAUAUAUCUCACGAGUAAUGGAUUCAAUUGGAUCUUUUGCUUCGGUAAUCAGAAGUUCUUCAGGUAUAUCAAUUAGAGCCUCACCAUCAUUAGGUUCCGCAAUUCUACCAUCACCAACAGCUAGAAGCCAAUCACUGAAUUCUUUGAUGUCUUUUGCUUCUUCUACACUCAAAUCCUUCUUAAGUAGCCUCAUGUUCUUAGUAAGCUUUAGAACCUUACAGUGAUCCCAAAGAUAAGACGCAUUAAGAGCUGCCAUCACAAUCUCAGCCCUGCCUGCACCAGCGAUAACAGGUAGAACUUGUCUAAAAUCACCUCCAAAGACAACAACCUUUCCACCAAAUACUUUGCUAUCUUUAUUACCAAUGAUAUCACAAAAACUCUUAUCUAGAGAUUCAAAACACCACUUGCUCAUCAUAGGUGCCUCAUCCCAUAUAAUAAGAGAAGCUUUCUUUAUCAGAUCAGCAAGAUCAGACUUCGGCUUUAUCCUGCACACUGAACUGCUAUCAGGUGUAAGAGGUAUGGCAAACCUUGAAUGAGCAGUCCUUCCACCUUCCAACAACAAAGAAGCGAUACCACUUGAAGCCACGUUUAGAACUAUAUCUCCUUUAGAUCUAAUAGCAGCUGAAAGUGUUUUCCAAAUAAAAGUUUUUCCUGUACCUCCAAAUCCAUACACAAAAAACACUCCACCUAGAUCAUUGAAUACUGCAGUGGUAAUCUCAUCAUAAACACCUCUCUGCUCCGGUGUCAUAAUAUCUAUCCACUCAGCAUGCUUUUCAGCCAAUGAUGUACGGUCAUACCUCAUUUCAUCAACAAUCAAACGGUUAGAAUUAUCUAUACCUUCUCUAGUUGGCUUAGGAAAGUUUUGUAUAUCUUCAAGAGUACCUCCAUUAGACAACAUCAUUUUUUCUAGUUCUUGAAGUGUGUAGUUCCUAAUUUCUGCCUCUGUCAGAUUCAAAUCUGCAUAUAAAAUAAAUGGCAAUGUCAAGAAAAAAAUAGAAUCAUUGCUUAUUUAACUGAGAAAAUGGAUAUGAUAUAACUUAAGCAAUUUCAUUAUUUAUCUCACCUUGAUUGUCAAACUCAUUUCUCUUCUUCUGUUGAAUAUCUUCUGCUAGCAAAUGCCACGUCUGUUCCCAAACAUAUUCUGGCCUAGAUAGGGAAUCAGAUAGUAGCAACAUAGCGAAGAAAUUCCUCAAAAAACCACCAAAACAGAAUUGACUCGCAUCAACCAGACUGUCAAUGAACACCUGGUCAUCAUCUAGAAUUCCUCGUGCAAAACAUGCUUCUUUGUAAGUUGGAUAGACAACACCAUUAUAUGUUUUAAUGUCAUCAAAACAUGUAGGACCUCUGACGAUGUUAAGAAGGACUCGUAGAAAAUAUUCAUCUUCUAGCUUCCUGGGAACAUAAUUAAUCCGACCUAAGGACCAUCCUCUAGACCUCUUAUUCCACAGCUUAUUAGUUCCAUCCCAUGUAAAAUAUGCAGGUAUCUCUGCAUAUAGGAGUUCUCGAGCACGCUUUCCAUUUUUUCCAAUUCCAUCAUUCCUAUUCAAUGUUAGCCAUGCCAUGAAUUGAGAAUCUCGAUUGAGAAUUCUGUCCAAAACAUCUGAUAUCACCUCUUUUCCUUUAAAAUAAGCUGGUUGCUUUCCUUCUACAUGAAAAGAUAGCUUCAGAACAGGUGUUGAUUUAUGCUGUAUCGGAAACUUAAAAAUUCUCCAAAUUGCUUCAGAUGCUGACACAUAUCUACAAUUUUGAAUAAUAAACAAAUCCAUUUCAGGAUCCAGACUGACCAAUCACAGAAAUAAACUGAGAAAGAGCAAAAUUAGGAUACAAUACCUGCAAUCAAAAUAAUCUUUUAUUUCAUUCUUCUUUUUCUCCUCUGGUAAUGGUUCUGAUCCAUUAGCUGUUUGAUUUACGUGUGAGCCAUUAUCUGUUGGUGGUGGCUUGACAGGCUCCACAACAAAUGCUAACUUAUCUGGGCCUUUAUUUAUAUACUUGAAUAAGUAUUUAAUAGACCCAGUUUGAUUACACCAUUCAACGUUAAUGUGAGCACCAUACCUAACUGAUAGUUUUUUAUUGUAUGGAACGACAUACCUAUUAUCACAUUUAAUUCCACAUUUCUCAACAUAGUGGUCAGAGCGCCUUCUUCUAUAGAUAGGAAAACCAUCAGCGCCUACCCUGGUGAUAUCCUCAAAUUUUUUAGGAUACGAUUUAGAACACUGGCCAUCCACCAUACAUGGAGAACUCAUAUUUGCUGCACCACAUGGGCCAUGAAUCAUUGAAUUACUAACAACCUCAUAAAGCUCUGGUUCUGUUUCUUUAUCUGGAAUCUCAGCAGAUAUCAUCCUGUCAAUAUCGCUUGCUGUUGGAAGUUUGCUUUUAGCAUCCAUGAAUAAAAGAAUGUGAGCAUGUGGAAGGCCUCUUUUCUGGAAUUCUACAGUAUACAUAGCUGCAUAACAUAGAAUAUAGUGUGAAAAUAUUGAAAUAGUCUCAGUUUAUUGUCACAGAAUUGGAAGUAGUCAGACAACUUACAUGCGACAGUCUUUCCAAGCAUCUUCUUUUCUGUUAGAUCGUUCAUCAGAGAAUCCAACUUGAUUUUGAAUAUCCUAGCAACAAUGUCUGGCCUAUCCUCAGCAGUUAACCCUCUAGCUGUGACAUAUCUUGUUAUCUCAGGCCACUUAGGGUUACAUGUAAACGUGAUGAAUAAAUCCGGGAAACCAUAAUGUUUACAUAUGGCCAUAGCAUCAUAAUAACUCUGAACCAUAUACCUUGGACCACCAGUAAAAGAUGCUGGAAUCAAAAUCUGAUUUCCUUCUUCUUCCAUAUUUGUUACACCAGAGUCAGCAGCUUCUUUUAGUGAGUUUGCAUUCUCACAUCUAAGCUUAGACUGAUUGAACCUUAUGUAGGAUAGACGAUUUGAUUCAAUAGUGGUGUAAGCGUCACAAAGAAACUGCUGAAACAACCUCUUCGACAGUAGAAGAGUAUGGCACUCACCUGGCCUCUCCUGAAUACGGAAUGCAAACCACUGACGCAUACUAAUACACUUAUUCUUCUUCUGGUUAUUACCCUUAUAACAUUUCUCUAUACCUGGGGUGUAACCAUCUUCACCAUAGCAGAAAAUCAGAGGAUACUGAAGAGCCAGAUAAGAAAUAUGAAUCUGGCUAAUCCUGGUUAGGUGGCCUGUAGUCCUUUCUUGAAGAACUAUAUCACGGUUUGGCAUACCUUCUGUAAAGUCUCCUGGGAUUAACGCUGCAACCUCCGAAGUCGUAGGCAUGCUGUAAGUCCUUCCAUCAGCACCUUUACGACCAGAGCAUAUCCUCAUAUGAAAUGGUUGGGGAUUAACUACCCCAAAUCUUUCCUUGGCAAUUCUAAAAUUCUUGACAUAAGGAUUAACUUCAUUGAGCAUUUUCAUAAUGGCUUCAAUUGUCUCUUUGUUCAGUAUAUCCUUGCUUCCUCUUCUAGAUGAUUCUUUCCCCUUGCUACAUUAAAAAAAAAAAAGAUGCCCAUGAUUGAGUAUACCACAACAUAGAAAUACAUAAGAAUUGAAUAAGCCUGUUAAGUAGAAAUAAUACUAACCCAAUAACAGUUGCUCUGUUAUCUACUUCAUUCUCAGUAUCUACUAUAUAGAGUUGUGAAUACUUCGCAUAAUCACCUUCUGCAGGUUUCAAACUGCCUAUCAAAUGAUAGUUACCUCCUUGUAAACGAAACAUGCUUGGACCUUUACCCUUAGGUAUAGACUUAUCUACUUUCCCACCUAGUGAGGUCAUUGCGAAAACCAUAUUCCAUAUUCUCAAGUGCUUUCUGUAAUUCCUACUUUGAGGAUCUUUCCCAGUCAGAAGUUUCUUGAUCAAUUCUGGUGACUCUUUAAGAAAAGGCAGCUUAACAGAACCUUGACCACAACAUAGUGUAAAUGUAGGCUCUGUCGUUUUAACUUUUUUGUUUAUUCUUUCAGCAUUCCACAUCAAUGCACCACAAUACUUACACGAGUAAGUAGGGUCACCAUGAUCAAGAUAAGCUGAAAAACAUAAAUAUGUUUCUCAUAAGUUUCAUAUUCAGAAUUACCAAAAAUUAAAAAAAGUACUGGGAAGGGAUAGAAAAUUUACUUAUUGGUUUGUUUUUCUUUUUUGAUUUUCUUUUCUUUUUUCUUUUCGGAGGCACAUUUCCUUCAUGUGUUUCUUGCUGAACAAACUCAAUAGAUGAUCUUGCCAAAUCAUUGGUAUGAGAUGAGACUUCAGUUAUGUGUGACAUCAUUUCAAUCUGUUCCUCGUCAGAAACUGACAUUUCAUUGUUAUCGACUACUUCAUCUUCACCUUCACUGCAACUAAGAUCAUAGCUUUGAGCUAGUGUCUCAUCUUCACUGACAUUACCAAACUCAGGAUCAUCAUACAUUUCAUCAUCUUGGCUAUAAUCACUAUCUUCAUUAUCUAUUACUUGAGUUGUAUUCUGACCUUGAGAAUACAAAACAGGAAAAUAGGUUAAGACAUGCCUCUUAAUUACAUUUUGUUUCCAAGCGAAAAACAAUACAGUAAAGACUGUUACCUUUAGAUGAAGAAGAGGUAUCUGCAUUUGUAAAAUCAAUAUCUAAGUUUUUCCUUGGCAAAUUUAUUCUAUGAGAAACAAAGCUUGAUGUCUGGAGGUUGGUUAUACAUGAUGGAUUUCCAGUGUAUUGAACACCUACAACAGAUAUUAAACUUAUUACUUAUACAAUAUACUUCUCUAUUUAAAACAUUAUCAUACCAUAAUUGUUGUAAAAAUUAUUCAUAUGUGGAAUUUAAUUAAUCUAACCACCUAUUCUCUUUGGUGUUACAGAAGGUGGAGGCAUUAUUGGAGUUGUAGGUGUUCUGCUAAAAAGACUCUGGCUUGUAUUAGUCAUGGCGCUUAAUCCAGAUGGAGUUAACAAUGGGUUAGGUCUGGUGUAAGGAGAGCAAGGUUUGGACAUUUUUCCACGAAGUGAACCUGUUUUAAAACUCAUCAAGAUUUAGAGAUAAAGGUAUUUUUUAUUUAUCUUUGAUGAGAAUGAAAACAAAAUAAUUGUAAAUGAAAACUUGUCUAUAGAAACUAACCUUGAUUCUUACUGUUCUGUUUUGCAGAUGAAGAUGUAUUAGCAUCUGCAGAGUUCUCAAUGGGGCUAACUUGUGGGUCUGGAAGGUUAGUAAUAUCUCUAAAAGCAC
RNAcentral lists this long non-coding RNA (6453 nucleotides) under Arabidopsis lyrata. Its description in RNAcentral is "long non-coding RNA (ALYR_LNC000902)". The record is from RNAcentral. Lineage: Eukaryota; Viridiplantae; Streptophyta; Magnoliopsida; Brassicales; Brassicaceae.